This 31-nucleotide non-coding RNA is filed under the name Homo sapiens (human). The record is from RNAcentral. Lineage: Eukaryota; Metazoa; Chordata; Mammalia; Primates; Hominidae.
UCUGAUGUUUCUUCAUCCAACGGGUGCUGAU